CAGCAGCUCACAGGAGGUGGCUUUGGAAGUAAGUAGACUAAGUGCCCCCUGCUAACAGCUUUCGGAUUCGAUUUUUAAAAAUCAGGUUUAUCAGGUGUCAUUGACAUUGUCAUUGACACCCACCACCUUAAUGCAUACAGGUCAGCGGGUCUCGACAAUCACGUAACCAACAACAACACAAUAGAGGUCAUUUCCAUGAUCCCCAAAAGAUCCCUCGUGCCCCUUGCCAAGACCUCCCUGCCCUGCUUUCUAUUAUUCUAUCUUGUCAUUUCUGAAAUUUCACACAAAUGGAAUCACAGCGUAUAUGGUCUUUUGUGUCUGGCUUUUUUCCCCAGAGUAUCAGGCUGUUGGUAUUCAUUGAUCUUGAUGCGUACAUCACAGCUUUGUCCUUUUUAUGACCGAGUAGUCGUCUCUUCUACGGAUAGACCACAGUUGCUGAUCCUUUCACAAACUGAUGGACAUUAGGGCUGCUCCGGGUUUAGAGUUAUUAAAACAAAGCUGUGACAGACGUUCCAGCGUUAAGGCUCACGUGAACCUGUGUUUCAUUGCUCAUGCGUAGAGGUCUAAGAGUAGGGGACUGAAUCCUACGGUGUUUAACUUUAGAAGGAAACUGUUUUCCAAAGUGGUUGUACCCUUUUACAUCCAGUGUAUCAGGAAGUUGACGGGCGAAGGUUCUGGGUCCAUACUGGCUCCAAGACUCCAGGUCUGUGAACGUGAGGGCGGGGCUGGGGGAGCAGGAGGGGAUCUAAAUGCAGUCAUAGCCUCUGGGCUGGUUCUUAAACUGUCUCCUCUCCACUUCAGACCUACCCUUCUAUGCUCAGCUUUUGGGAGCUGGUGUUGGGUCUCUAAACCACAUUUGCUGUUUGGCAGACUGAUUCCCAUUCAUUCCUGCCAAUAGUAGCUCCUCCCAGGAGACCAGAAGGAUGGAGAGGAGGAAGGCAUUCACUCCUUGCUGUUUGCUCCUUGUACCCAACAGCACUGCCCUGGAGCUAGCCCGCUAGGACACAAGUCCAGCCCCUGGGUAGGGCGUCCCCAGGGAAGCAGGACCAUCAGGCAGGAGGAGCCCGUGCUGGGAGCAGAAGCUCAUCAAUGACUCUUUGAAGGCUGGGGGUGGCUUCUAGCUCUAGCUCUCAUGGAUUGGGGGACCCUAACCGUAAGAGCUGGCUUCUAGACUUCCGAGCCCUUCCCGCUGAGGAAAGGGAACCCAUCAUGGUAUGUAAUAAGUUCAGGGAAGAGCUUCCUCCGUCCCAGCCCACAAGGAGCACUAACUAACUGCCCAGCAUGCCCCGGAGCCCGGAACCACACACCCCGGACCCGGAGGGCUUUGCAACAGGAGCUCAAGUCCGUGUUUGCAGUUUGCUGAUGCCCCGUGAGGCCCACACCCUGUCUGCUCGGCCAACCCCUGUUUCUCCUGAAAGACUAUGCACCAUCCCCUGGAAAGGCGUUCUAAGAUUGAAAGGUGUUGUCUGCCCGGCACAC
This is a long non-coding RNA of Mustela erminea (ermine), 1479 nucleotides long. RefSeq lists it as uncharacterized. The record is from RefSeq and is a predicted model, not a curated record. NCBI's taxonomy places the organism in Eukaryota, Metazoa, Chordata, Mammalia, Carnivora, Mustelidae. The transcript has 4 exons.